CGAAGCAGCUUCGGCAGGCAAAAGAUUGCAGUCGCUGUCCCUGAACAAGUAAAGGUUGGCCGCCCGGGAUAGUGACUUGGCGACAGCGGGAAGCGCAACCAGCAAACUCUCUUGAUAUGCGCCGCAGGUUGAAACCAAGGCAGAUUGUAAAACGAAACUUGUAUAUUUGGCUGAAUAAAGUUUAAAUUAUCGUAAA
Molecule: non-coding RNA, 196 nt
Organism: Pogona vitticeps (central bearded dragon)
Lineage: Eukaryota; Metazoa; Chordata; Lepidosauria; Squamata; Agamidae
Source: RefSeq, a predicted model, not a curated record